ACCGUACUCCUACGGGAGGCAGCAGUGGGGAAUUUUGGACAAUGGGGGCAACCCUGAUCCAGCAAUGCCGCGUGAGUGAAGAAGGCCUUCGGGCUGUAAAGCUCUUUUGUCAGGGAAGAAACGGUAGUAGCUAAUAUCUAUUACUAAUGACGGUACCUGAAGAAUAAGCACCGGCUAACUACGUGCCAGCAGCCGCGGUAAUACGUAGGGUGCAAGCGUUAAUCGGAAUUACUGGGCGUAAAGCGUGCGCAGGCGGUUGUGUAAGUCAGAGGUGAAAUCCCCGGGCUCAACCUGGGAAUUGCAUUUGAGACUGCACGGCUAGAGUGUGUCAGAGGGGGGUAGAAUUCCACGUGUAGCAGUGAAAUGCGUAGAUAUGUGGAGGAAUACCGAUGGCGAAGGCAGCCCCCUGGGAUAACACUGACGCUCAUGCACGAAAGCGUGGGGAGCAAACAGGAUUAGAUACCCCGGUGGUCCUUGAC
Molecule: ribosomal RNA, 479 nt
Filed under: uncultured bacterium
Lineage: Bacteria
Description: bacterial SSU rRNA
Rfam family: Bacterial small subunit ribosomal RNA
Source: RNAcentral